AUUACCCAAUCCCGACUCGGGGAGGUAGUGACAAUAAAUAACGUUGCAGGCGCCAAUGGCUUCUGCAGUCGGAAUGAGUACAAUAUAACACCCUUAACGAGGAACAAUUGGAGGGCAAGUCUGGUGCCAGCAGCCGCGGUAAUUCCAGCUCCAAUAGCGUAUAUUAAAGUUGUUGCAGUUAAAAAGCUCGUAGUUGGAUUUCGGAACUGGCCGAUUGGUCCAUCCUCUGGAUUGCGUACUGAUCGGUCUGUUCUUCUUCGCGAAGACCACGUGUGUCCUUAACUGGGUGGGCGUGGGAUUCGCGACGUUUACUUUGAAAAAAUUAGAGUGUUCAAAGCAGGCAUUCGCUUGAAUAUCUCAGCAUGGAAUAAUAGAAUAGGACUUUGGUCUUAUUUUGUUGGUUUCCGAGACCGAAGUAAUGAUUAAUAGGGACAGUUGGGGGCAUUCGUAUUUCAUUGUCAGAGGUGAAAUUCUUGGAUUUAUGAAAGACGAACUUCUGCGAAASSAUUUGCCAAGGAUGUUUUCAUUAAUCAAGAACGAAAGUUGGAGGCUCGAAGACGAUCAGAUACCGUCCUAGUUCCAACCAUAAACGAUGCCGUCUGCGGAUCGGAGGUCGCUCAUUUAAGGCUCCUUCGGCACGCUAUGAGAAAUC
This 652-nucleotide ribosomal RNA is filed under the name Beroe ovata. Its description in RNAcentral is "SSU rRNA". It matches the Rfam family "Eukaryotic small subunit ribosomal RNA", at positions 442 to 1110 of the family's 1831-position model. The record is from RNAcentral. Lineage: Eukaryota; Metazoa; Ctenophora; Nuda; Beroida; Beroidae.